GUAUGUGAGAAAAAUAGCAUUUUUGUCUGAAUAAGUCUGACUGAAAUAUUGCAAGAUAAAGGACACUGUAUACCGUUUAGAUCUUUUAAUUCCCACAGUAUUGUUAUAAAGGAUGGGUGAAGAAGUGAAAAAUAAAAAUUUACAUAAUUUUACUUUUUAAGUUUGUCUACACAGCAAUCUAUACAGAAAAUUGCUUCAAACAAUGAUUCAAAAAUAUCUUAUGCUAAUAUUUUUCACACAGCGCUCAUGGUAAAGGGAUUAAGCAUAUUAAAUAACUUGAAGAGCCCGUUUCUAUAGUUUCCACUUAAUCUAUGUGAAUAAAUAUUAUUCAUGUCAUCAGUGGUGUAAAACAAAAUAAGGAAUACCAAAU
Pelobates cultripes (western spadefoot toad) is the source of this 370-nucleotide non-coding RNA. NCBI's taxonomy places the organism in Eukaryota, Metazoa, Chordata, Amphibia, Anura, Pelobatidae. The record is from the annotation of a GenBank genome assembly.